GUGCCAGGGCUCUUCUGCCCUCAAGGAGCUGAAAUCAAACAUCCCAUGAGGAAAAGGUCAAUCAUAAUGUAAAAGCUAAAGAACAGCACAGGAGACGUCCCAAGGCAGCCAGGAUCCUGUUCCACGAAUUGGCUCACGUGAUAGUGAAGGCUGAGAAGUUCCAAGAUCUGCCAUCAGCAGAUUGGAGACCCGGGAGAGCCGAUGGUGUGGGUCUGAUCUGAAAACUGCAGUCUCAACAUCCAAGAGCAAAAAGGGGAAAUCUGGACCCGGACGGACGUGCACAGCAGGAAGGCGAUGUGAAGAGAGGAGAAAGCCACGAGAAGAAGGCAGAGAUUGGGGUGAUGGGCUCACAAGCCAAGGAACUCCAGAAGCUGGAGAGAGGUCUGGAACACAUUCCUGCCUAGAAUCUUCAGAGGCUGUUUGGCCCGGCCAUCAACUUGAUCUCACAGUCUACCCUCCGGAACAGGGAGACAAUCCACGUCUGUUGUGUAAGCCCCCUGGUUGUAGUGAGUUAGUAAAUAGCUGAGCCCACAUUCAAGCUGAA
Long non-coding RNA from Balaenoptera acutorostrata (minke whale), 544 nucleotides. RefSeq lists it as uncharacterized. NCBI's taxonomy places the organism in Eukaryota, Metazoa, Chordata, Mammalia, Artiodactyla, Balaenopteridae. The record is from RefSeq and is a predicted model, not a curated record. The transcript has 3 exons.